This 253-nucleotide ribosomal RNA is filed under the name uncultured bacterium. Its description in RNAcentral is "partial 16S ribosomal RNA". It matches the Rfam family "Bacterial small subunit ribosomal RNA", at positions 524 to 776 of the family's 1533-position model. The record is from RNAcentral.
UACGUAGGGGGCAAGCGUUGUCCGGAAUCAUUGGGCGUAAAGCGCGUGUAGGCGGCUCGAUAAGUCUGCUGUGAAAGUCCAGGGCUCAACCCUGGGAUGCCGGUGGAUACUGUCGAGCUCGAGUCCGGAAGAGGCGAGUGGAAUUCCUGGUGUAGCGGUGAAAUGCGCAGAUAUCAGGAGGAACACCAAUGGCGAAGGCAGCUCGCUGGGACGUGACUGACGCUGAGACGCGAAAGCAUGGGGAGCGAACAGG